GUGGGGAAUCUUAGACAAUGGGGGCAACCCUGAUCUAGCCAUGCCGCGUGAGUGAUGAAGGCCUUAGGGUCGUAAAGCUCUUUCGCUGGGGAAGAUAAUGACGGUACCCAGUAAAGAAACCCCGGCUAACUCCGUGCCAGCAGCCGCGGUAAUACGGAGGGGGUUAGCGUUGUUCGGAAUUACUGGGCGUAAAGCGCGCGUAGGCGGAUUGGAAAGUUGGGGGUGAAAUCCCGGGGCUCAACCCUGGAAUGGCCUUCAAAACUCCCAGUCUUGAGGUCGAGAGAGGUGAGUGGAAUUCCGAGUGUAGAGGUGAAAUUCGUAGAUAUUCGGAAGAACACCAGUGGCGAAGGCGACUCACUGGCCCAAUACUGACGCUGAGGCGCGAAAGCGUGGGGAGCAAACAGGAUUAGAAACCCUGGUAGUCC
RNAcentral lists this ribosomal RNA (425 nucleotides) under uncultured bacterium. Its description in RNAcentral is "partial 16S ribosomal RNA". It matches the Rfam family "Bacterial small subunit ribosomal RNA", at positions 354 to 796 of the family's 1533-position model. The record is from RNAcentral.